This is a non-coding RNA of PRRSV HB-1(sh)/2002, 72 nucleotides long. NCBI's taxonomy places the organism in Riboviria, Orthornavirae, Pisuviricota, Pisoniviricetes, Nidovirales, Arteriviridae. The record is from Rfam.
UUUAAACUGCUAGCCGCCAGCGGCUUGACCCGCUGUGGUCGCGGCGGCUUAGUUGUUACUGAGACAGCGGUA